Molecule: long non-coding RNA, 1847 nt
Organism: Galleria mellonella (greater wax moth)
Lineage: Eukaryota; Metazoa; Arthropoda; Insecta; Lepidoptera; Pyralidae
Exons: 2
Source: RefSeq, a predicted model, not a curated record
ACAUUACUUAUAUCAGAGCGAGACUUUGUACAAGUCAUUUGUAAGGAAUGUAUGUAAGUGAGUUCUAAGGACCUACCAUGUAAUGUUUUAGAAAAUUCGAGGCUGAACGAAAGAUAAAUUUGAUAAUUACAUAAUACAUACAGUUUAAAAAUAUUAAAGAUGUUAAAGUAUCGUUUCCUUGGACUAAUAUGGUAGGAACGAAAUGUUAAGUUAAAAAAUUAAGCAACUGAACCGAUUAAAAACAAAUUAUAGGACUAAUUUAUAAGCACAUAUAUCCUGUCAAGUAAAAAAAUAAUUUUCCAAAUUUUUUAUAACUGACAGAGUUAUGAGGUUAGAAACAUAACAAAAAAUACAACCGAAUUGAGUACCGUAUUCUUUUUGAAAUAGGUUGAAAAAAAUUGUAGCAGAGUAUCACCACGUAACUUGCUAGUUAAGUUAGUAAAAGUAAGUGUUAAAUUUCGUCAAAUGUUAAUUUGUUGGCCUCUCAAAAUGCAUCGAUAAAUCAAUCGUGCAAUAUUAUAAUCAAUACGUUCAUAACAUUUGCGUUAGAUGGCACCAGUGGACCGUGAGUAAUCGGAGAGCAGGAAAGUACGUACCCACAUGCGAUAUUUAAACAACGAUAAUGUGAACAGCCGGUUGUAAAAAUAUCGGACUCGACGAGAUCGCGUUAUCAGAAUACCAGCAAUAAUCAGCAUUUAAAAUAACAAAAAGGAAAAACAAAUUUAUUUUACAUAUUUCGUUUAUUAUGAAGUUCGUAGUGGUUAUGUUGUUUAUAUUUGCUGUGCUAAUUGGAUAUCAAGAGGUCAACGCAGCUGUGAGAGCAAGGCAUCCAUGCUAUGGAGACUGCGUCGAGAUGUGUGGUCUGCAAGGCAAAAGUUCUGGCACCUGCAUGAGGGGUGUUUGUCGAUGUUUCUCCGAUGUGGGUUCAUAAUUAUGAUAAAUAAUUUGCGUCAAGUCAUCACAAUGUACUUUAAAAAGUAAUUAUCAAUGCAUUAUUUAGUCGAUUAUAUUGGAUUUGCAUCGCCAAGAGCAUUUAUUGCAUUUCUUAUGGUCGAUUUGAUAGAUAAUACCGCUAGGUGUUAGGUCUACUAUACGAGAAUUAUACUUUAUGUAUAAUUAGGUUUUACCUGUGACUUUGUCUGCGUGAUGAUCUAUAUGUCUCUAUGUCCUUCCAUUCCAUAUAAUAGGCAUAUACUAAUUUUUAAAUUAAAUAGUUUAGCCGGUUAAGGUACUAAAAGGCAACAAACGAACUCACUUUCCCAUUGAUAACAUUAGUAAAGACGUGCAUAAAAACAAAUAAAUGUAUAAUUAAUUUGUACAUUCAGUGAGAUGUAAUUCUGGGCUUUGUCCAUGUAAUGGAGGUUAGUACAAUGCAAGAGUAAGUCUAAGAUGCUAAGCUAAGUUACCUACCUUUAGUUUUUAGCACAAAAAAUCGUUAAGACCUCUCUUUUAAAUAUUAUAGUCAUGUAAAAGAUAGUUUAAAUGUAUUGAAUAACUGGAUAGAUUUAUAGUUAAUUUACAGUUACUUUUAUAGUUAAUGUGUACUUAUAAAUUGUAAAUAAACAUAACAUGUAAAAGACAAUUCGUCAUAGUCCUAGAAUACUGACGGAUCUUUAUAUGUAAUAUUUGUCAGAUCCGUCAGUAUUCUACGACUAUGACGAAUUGUUUAAAAUUUUAGUAUUUCUUUUUAAUAGAAUAAAAAGAAAAUAUUCAUUAUAUCUUUAGGUUUAAAAAAAUAAAAUUAUGCAUUCGAAGUUUUUUUUUUAAGUGUUCAGUUAUUGUAUUAGUAAUUAUAGUUAUAGUCAUACUUACCUCCUGAUAUGUAAAUAAAUAUUAUAUGAUUCUUA